This 77-nucleotide non-coding RNA is filed under the name unclassified sequences. The record is from Rfam.
AUAAUGAAACUUCUGUCUGGCUAACGUAGGUUAAGGGGCAGUCCGUAGAGAUCCUAGGGAACGUGAAAUUCGUAUGG